RNAcentral lists this ribosomal RNA (495 nucleotides) under uncultured bacterium. Its description in RNAcentral is "partial 16S ribosomal RNA". It matches the Rfam family "Bacterial small subunit ribosomal RNA", at positions 28 to 507 of the family's 1533-position model. The record is from RNAcentral.
GACGAACGCUGGCGGCGUGCCUAAUACAUGCAAGUAGAACGCUGAAGGAGGAGCUUGCUUCUCUGGAUGAGUUGCGAACGGGUGAGUAACGCGUAGGUAACCUGCCUGGUAGCGGGGGAUAACUAUUGGAAACGAUAGCUAACACCGCAUAACAGUAGAUAUCGCAUGAUAUCUACUUGAAAGGUGCAAUUGCAUCACUACCAGAUGGACCUGCGUUGUAUUAGCUAGUUGGUGAGGUAACGGCUCACCAAGGCGACGAUACAUAGCCGACCUGAGAGGGUGAUCGGCCACACUGGGACUGAGACACGGCCCAGACUCCUACGGGAGGCAGCAGUAGGGAAUCUUCGGCAAUGGACGGAAGUCUGACCGAGCAACGCCGCGUGAGUGAAGAAGGUUUUCGGAUCGUAAAGCUCUGUUGUAAGAGAAGAACGAGUGUGAGAGUGGAAAGUUCACACUGUGACGGUAUCUUACCAGAAAGGGACGGCUAACUACGUG